GCUGUCCGGACAAUACUGGUCACCGGAACAGUAAAACGCAUUACCGAACAUAGAGGUGUUACACAUCUCUCCAUUUUAAGAUGUUGAUUCUAGGGAAGAAAAUAAUGGAAUACAAGAUCAAAUAUCUGAAUAAGUGCGUGAAGGUGAUUCUUAUUUUUCUAUUCCAUUCAAGGUCAUGAAUACUAAUAAUUUAAUUUUAUUCUUUAUGUUGAUAGAUUUUGAUAUUAUGCAAAAUAAUAUGAGAAGCAAGCGUCAAAGUAAUAGCACUUUUGUAAAAGAGGAUCCAGUGCAGGAACAAGCAUACAAAGGUCCAAAUAAUUAUUAUCAUAUGCAUUAUUAUUAAUUUAUAUUCAUCAUACUUAUUUAUUAUUGAUACAUUGUUUCUAUACUAUUAAUGAAGUUCUAAAGACUUAUUUUUUUAGAUAUUGUUAUUAUGCAAAAGAAGAGAAAAACAAGGGGUAUGAAUAAAGGUAAAAAGGUUGCAGCACUGAAGGAUGGUGAGAAAUUGAAUGUGAUUUUUUAUAAUAAUCGAAUUAUUAGAGAAAAUUAUACGGAAUGGUUAAGACAUUUGGACAAAAUAGUGCAUGAUCGAAACAUUUGUUCAAUAAGAGUGCACUCGUGGAAGGAAAUUAGAGAAGAUACAAAAGAUCAUAUGUGGGAUUCAGUCAAGGAGAAAUUUAAAAAUGAUAACAUUGAGUUAUAUCAGGAAAAGUCUUUGGAGCAUAUGAAUCAAUUGUAGAAUAAUUGGAGAGGAGAUUGAAAUGCCACAAGAUGAUGCCUUGUGGUUCCUUUCCAGAGGUGUUGAAAAAUGUUCCUUAAGGAAUGCAUCAAGAAGAUUGGGAGCGAUUAGUUAAGAAUCAUUUAUCCACCAAAAAGUUUAAGGUGGUAGAACAAUAUUUUAAAACACAACAUUGUGAUCAUGUAAUUGGUUAUGAGGUUGGAAUGAAAGCAAAAAAAGUCAAGAAAUCUCAUUCCAAUGUUGGCCUUCAAGAGGAGAAUCGAUUGCUUAAGGAUCGUUUGUCUAAAGUAGAAGCUAGGAUGAAAUGCCUUGGGGAGUUAUUAUUGAGCCAACAUUCUAAUGCUUAAUUUGGAACUCCUCCAUCUACAAAUUAUUCUACAUGAUUGUGAUAAGAUGAAAUUCAAAUGGUGAAGGAAUUGAAGUAACUUUUUGGGGGAAGGUAUUCAAAAGUAACUUGAAAAAUAUUGUUCAAUUUUUUUUCCUUCACAUAUUUAUAGUUACCUUAUUGACAUAUACAAAGUAAGCAUAAACAAUUAAUAUUAAACUUGAGACGG
This 1293-nucleotide unclassified non-coding RNA is filed under the name Hevea brasiliensis (rubber tree). The record is from RNAcentral. Lineage: Eukaryota; Viridiplantae; Streptophyta; Magnoliopsida; Malpighiales; Euphorbiaceae.